RNAcentral lists this ribosomal RNA (2921 nucleotides) under Staphylococcus aureus M0412. RNAcentral's name for it is "bacterial LSU rRNA". It matches the Rfam family "Bacterial large subunit ribosomal RNA". Lineage: Bacteria; Bacillati; Bacillota; Bacilli; Caryophanales; Staphylococcaceae. The record is from RNAcentral.
UUAAGUUAUUAAGGGCGCACGGUGGAUGCCUUGGCACUAGAAGCCGAUGAAGGACGUUACUAACGACGAUAUGCUUUGGGGAGCUGUAAGUAAGCUUUGAUCCAGAGAUUUCCGAAUGGGGAAACCCAGCAUGAGUUAUGUCAUGUUAUCGAUAUGUGAAUACAUAGCAUAUCAGAAGGCACACCCGGAGAACUGAAACAUCUUAGUACCCGGAGGAAGAGAAAGAAAAUUCGAUUCCCUUAGUAGCGGCGAGCGAAACGGGAAGAGCCCAAACCAACAAGCGUGCUUGUUGGGGUUGUAGGACACUCUGUACGGAGUUACAAAGGACGACAUUAGACGAAUCAUCUGGAAAGAUGAAUCAAAGAAGGUAAUAAUCCUGUAGUCGAAAAUGUUGUCUCUCUUGAGUGGAUCCUGAGUACGACGGAGCACGUGAAAUUCCGUCGGAAUCUGGGAGGACCAUCUCCUAAGGCUAAAUACUCUCUAGUGACCGAUAGUGAACCAGUACCGUGAGGGAAAGGUGAAAAGCACCCCGGAAGGGGAGUGAAAUAGAACCUGAAACCGUGUGCUUACAAGUAGUCAGAGCCCGUUAAUGGGUGAUGGCGUGCCUUUUGUAGAAUGAACCGGCGAGUUACGAUUUGAUGCAAGGUUAAGCAGUAAAUGUGGAGCCGUAGCGAAAGCGAGUCUGAAUAGGGCGUUUAGUAUUUGGUCGUAGACCCGAAACCAGGUGAUCUACCCUUGGUCAGGUUGAAGUUCAGGUAACACUGAAUGGAGGACCGAACCGACUUACGUUGAAAAGUGAGCGGAUGAACUGAGGGUAGCGGAGAAAUUCCAAUCGAACCUGGAGAUAGCUGGUUCUCUCCGAAAUAGCUUUAGGGCUAGCCUCAAGUGAUGAUUAUUGGAGGUAGAGCACUGUUUGGACGAGGGGCCCCUCUCGGGUUACCGAAUUCAGACAAACUCCGAAUGCCAAUUAAUUUAACUUGGGAGUCAGAACAUGGGUGAUAAGGUCCGUGUUCGAAAGGGAAACAGCCCAGACCACCAGCUAAGGUCCCAAAAUAUAUGUUAAGUGGAAAAGGAUGUGGCGUUGCCCAGACAACUAGGAUGUUGGCUUAGAAGCAGCCAUCAUUUAAAGAGUGCGUAAUAGCUCACUAGUCGAGUGACACUGCGCCGAAAAUGUACCGGGGCUAAACAUAUUACCGAAGCUGUGGAUUGUCCUUUGGACAAUGGUAGGAGAGCGUUCUAAGGGCGUUGAAGCAUGAUCGUAAGGACAUGUGGAGCGCUUAGAAGUGAGAAUGCCGGUGUGAGUAGCGAAAGACGGGUGAGAAUCCCGUCCACCGAUUGACUAAGGUUUCCAGAGGAAGGCUCGUCCGCUCUGGGUUAGUCGGGUCCUAAGCUGAGGCCGACAGGCGUAGGCGAUGGAUAACAGGUUGAUAUUCCUGUACCACCUAUAAUCGUUUUAAUCGAUGGGGGGACGCAGUAGGAUAGGCGAAGCGUGCGAUUGGAUUGCACGUCUAAGCAGUAAGGCUGAGUAUUAGGCAAAUCCGGUACUCGUUAAGGCUGAGCUGUGAUGGGGAGAAGACAUUGUGUCUUCGAGUCGUUGAUUUCACACUGCCGAGAAAAGCCUCUAGAUAGAAAAUAGGUGCCCGUACCGCAAACCGACACAGGUAGUCAAGAUGAGAAUUCUAAGGUGAGCGAGCGAACUCUCGUUAAGGAACUCGGCAAAAUGACCCCGUAACUUCGGGAGAAGGGGUGCUCUUUAGGGUUAACGCCCAGAAGAGCCGCAGUGAAUAGGCCCAAGCGACUGUUUAUCAAAAACACAGGUCUCUGCUAAACCGUAAGGUGAUGUAUAGGGGCUGACGCCUGCCCGGUGCUGGAAGGUUAAGAGGAGUGGUUAGCUUCUGCGAAGCUACGAAUCGAAGCCCCAGUAAACGGCGGCCGUAACUAUAACGGUCCUAAGGUAGCGAAAUUCCUUGUCGGGUAAGUUCCGACCCGCACGAAAGGCGUAACGAUUUGGGCACUGUCUCAACGAGAGACUCGGUGAAAUCAUAGUACCUGUGAAGAUGCAGGUUACCCGCGACAGGACGGAAAGACCCCGUGGAGCUUUACUGUAGCCUGAUAUUGAAAUUCGGCACAGCUUGUACAGGAUAGGUAGGAGCCUUUGAAACGUGAGCGCUAGCUUACGUGGAGGCGCUGGUGGGAUACUACCCUAGCUGUGUUGGCUUUCUAACCCGCACCACUUAUCGUGGUGGGAGACAGUGUCAGGCGGGCAGUUUGACUGGGGCGGUCGCCUCCUAAAAGGUAACGGAGGCGCUCAAAGGUUCCCUCAGAAUGGUUGGAAAUCAUUCAUAGAGUGUAAAGGCAUAAGGGAGCUUGACUGCGAGACCUACAAGUCGAGCAGGGUCGAAAGACGGACUUAGUGAUCCGGUGGUUCCGCAUGGAAGGGCCAUCGCUCAACGGAUAAAAGCUACCCCGGGGAUAACAGGCUUAUCUCCCCCAAGAGUUCACAUCGACGGGGAGGUUUGGCACCUCGAUGUCGGCUCAUCGCAUCCUGGGGCUGUAGUCGGUCCCAAGGGUUGGGCUGUUCGCCCAUUAAAGCGGUACGCGAGCUGGGUUCAGAACGUCGUGAGACAGUUCGGUCCCUAUCCGUCGUGGGCGUAGGAAAUUUGAGAGGAGCUGUCCUUAGUACGAGAGGACCGGGAUGGACAUACCUCUGGUGUACCAGUUGUCGUGCCAACGGCAUAGCUGGGUAGCUAUGUGUGGACGGGAUAAGUGCUGAAAGCAUCUAAGCAUGAAGCCCCCCUCAAGAUGAGAUUUCCCAACUUCGGUUAUAAGAUCCCUCAAAGAUGAUGAGGUUAAUAGGUUCGAGGUGGAAGCAUGGUGACAUGUGGAGCUGACGAAUACUAAUCGAUCGAAGACUUAAUCAA